This is an RNA transcript of Boleophthalmus pectinirostris (great blue-spotted mudskipper), 2806 nucleotides long. RefSeq lists it as uncharacterized. The record is from RefSeq and is a predicted model, not a curated record. NCBI's taxonomy places the organism in Eukaryota, Metazoa, Chordata, Actinopteri, Gobiiformes, Gobiidae. The transcript has 9 exons.
UUGAGGGGAACUCCACACAAUAUGAGAACUGCUUCAGUUUUUGUGCUGUUUUUUGUGCUGUUUGCUGGACCACAUGGAUUCAUUAGAUCACCGACUCUUUUCAAAGUCACUGAAGGAGAGAAUUUAACAGUCACAUGUCAGGUUUAUUAUUUGGGAAAUACUAAAAUCUUUUGUAAAGCUGAUUGUGACAAAAAAGAAAACAUUCUGGUUCAGACUGCAGGCUCCCGUCAGCAGAACAGCAGAUACAGUAUUGAAGAGAAACAUCAAUCAGGGUUUUUGCAUAUGUCUGUGAACAUUACAGAUGUGCACAGAUCAGAUGCAGGACUGUACCAGUGUGGUCUGGAUUAUGGGCAGAAAAACUCAACCAUGGUGCAAUUUCAAAUUGAGGUCUCCCCUGGUGAGUCUGGGUCUGUCGGUGCAGGUGAGUCUGGGUCUGUCGGUGCAGCCUGAGAUAUGAGAGAGGCGUGACAAGUGGCACCUGAGAAAGGAAGGAAAUGAUAUAUGUGUGACUUUGUGCAGCUGAAAAGUGUUCGCAGUCAGUCAGAACCCAAAAGUGUCAAGGACAUCAGUUGAACAUGAACAUGUGUUCACUAUUGAUGCUGUUUGUUGUGUUGUGCCAUGGAAGACUAUUAUUCAGCAAAACAGAGACUAAAGUGAUUGAAGCAACAGAAGGAGACAAUUUUACAGCCCAAUGUUUACUUUAUUUCAAUGGAAAACAAAAAAAUCUUCUGUCAAAAUGACUGUAAAGGGAAAGAAGACACUUUGGUUGAGACUGCAAACAACCGACUGCAGAAUGGAAGAUACGGCAUUGAAGUUAUCAAAGGAUCUCACACGCAAGUACUACAACAUUAAAUGUGAUCAUCACAAACGUGAGAAGAUCUGAUGCUGGGUCAUACACAUGUGGUCUGGAACAUGGAGAUAUUUCAACAUUUAUAUUAAAAGUCAUCAGUGAUUCAUACAGAAGACUUCAAAUGUAUGAUGCAAAAUGUAUGGAAUUAUCAAACAAAGAAACAAAAGUGAAAUAACUCAACUAAAUAUUUGUAUAUUUUAUAUUCAAAUUCCUCAAAGUAACCACCCUUUGCUUUGUUGACAGAGCUGCAAACUCUUGGCGUUUUCCCAGUAACAGAGAAAUAAAGUUACUUGAAAUGUUUUUUACUUCACAGGUGAACCAGGGUCAGGGUCAAGGAACACCAAUUGUCAAAAGCUGUGAUAAAAGCAAAGGGUGUCUGUUUUCAAAACAAGUUUCGAUUUAGUUAGAGUUUAUUUUUGUUCCUACAAUCUAUAAAUGUUCAUUCAUAGUUUUGAUGCCUUCAGUGAUGGAAAUAAAGCAGAAACAUGAAUGAGAAGUGUCCAGACUUUUGCCUGGUAGUGUCCGUUUUUAAGUGGACGGUCCAAAAUCCUUUUUUAUUUAUUAAUUUAUCUUCACAACAAGACCACAUUAAGACCUUUGUCUUAACGUUUUUCUGCUAUGUUUCACAAAACUGUAUAAAACUUAUCUCCAUGGAGACCAGCAGAUAACUCCACCAAACCAAGUAGUUUUUGGCAUUAAUGAAAAGUAGAUUAAGUUUAAUGCCAUACCAUGAAACAUUCCUGGCAAAACAAUCAAGCAUGUGACCCUGCACCAGAAAAGUUAAAUAGUAAACCUUUUUUUUUUUUUUUUUUUAAAGCACUUUCACUUUCAGAAAUUUCAAAGUCAAUAUUGCCCUUCAUAAUUAGUUUAAAUAGAUGCAGAAUCUUACAUGUGUCACAUUUUGUGAGGAAAACACAGAAGUCCAGAGCAGAGGGUGAGUAUGGGGUAUAAAGGAAAAUGGAAAUGGAGCUAUGGUGUUUUGAAUGCAGGAGAAUGCAGAUAUUUGUGGAGAGUUUUUCCCUUUUAGCCCACAGCCCUCUUGGCUACAUGGUAAUGAGUCAAAGAUUGCAGACACACUCACUCUGGCAGAGCUUUUAAAUGUCACAGCCGUCACAGAUUGGUUCAGAUGCCAUCACCAUAUAUGUACCUGUACCAUCCUACUCCAGCAGCCAAAUACUGCUGACCUGUUCACACUCACUCACAAGGAAAAUCAUGAAUCAAAUCUGCCUUUUUGUCUGUGUUACAAGUUCACUUCUGUCAAAUGUUAUUGUAUAGAUCGAUUAUUGCAUCAGCCAGUAAUGUGAUAUAGAUAUUCUUGAAUCUUUAAUCCUUUAAUCUUUCUUUGCAGUGGAAACCCCAACACCAGGUUUGACCCUCGGAGCUGCUCCCACCACAUCCCUCCAUAAUGUGACACCAGCACAGACGACACAAAGGACACAAGAAGCAUCUGAAGUGACGAGCUCACAGCAACCUCAGGAGGAGCACAACUCAUCCACACUGUCUGUUGUGCUGCAGUAUGUUGCUGUGAGUGUAACCACCAUUCUGAUUAUUGUAUCAGGGAGUAUUUUGAUUUGGUGCUGGAAAAGGAAAACCAAUAGACCAACAGCUGCUGCUGAUGACUGUGAAACUCCAGAGUAUGAAAACUACCGUGUGGACAACAUGGACCCAAACCAAACCUACAGUAACAUAUGAGACCAAGUCAAGACAAGUGAGGACAUGUAGAACACCUCAAGUAUGAUGUCACUCCAUCCAAGUGUCAGUUGUCAUUAGUUCAAUGGAAUAUAGAUGUUUUGGUCAAAUUAAUAUGGACCCCGUGUUUAAAAAAUGUAAAGUGCUUGAAUCCGACUACACUGAGGCAAUCUCUUUUCUCAGAUCCAACACCAGCCCACUUUUCGUAAUUUAACCUUUCUUACUUUUUAACUCUGAAGUCAAAAUAAUAAAGUGAAUAAGUUCAAA